UGUCUGUAAUCGCCACACGGUCGCCAAC
Molecule: small RNA, 28 nt
Filed under: Bombyx mori (domestic silkworm)
Lineage: Eukaryota; Metazoa; Arthropoda; Insecta; Lepidoptera; Bombycidae
Description: piRNA piR-bmo-1336350
Source: RNAcentral